CAGUCGCCGCGGUAAUACGUAGGGUGCAAGCGUUAAUCGGAAUUACUGGGCGUAAAGCGUGCGCAGGCGGUUCUAUAAGACAGAUGUGAAAUCCCCGGGCUCAACCUGGGAACUACAUUUGUGACUGUAGAGCUGGAGUGCGGCAGAGGGGGAUGGAAUUCCGCGUGUAGCAGUGAAAUGCGUAGAUAUGCGGAGGAACACCGAUGGCGAAGGCAGUCCCCUGGGCCUGCACUGACGCUCAUGCACGAAAGCGUGGGGAGCAAACAGGAUUAGAUAUCCCGGUAGUCCCUGUCUCUUAUAC
This 301-nucleotide ribosomal RNA is filed under the name uncultured bacterium. Its description in RNAcentral is "partial 16S ribosomal RNA". It matches the Rfam family "Bacterial small subunit ribosomal RNA", at positions 509 to 807 of the family's 1533-position model. The record is from RNAcentral.